GAUGAUUUUACACUCAAACCAAGCAUUUAUUUAUAAUGAAGUGCAGUCUCCAUGCGCACAUGAGAUUGUAGUUACAGCAUAAAGAAAGGCAAGGAAAUUAACACAUGUGGACUUAUUGGAAAAUCAUACAAAUUAUUGAAGGACGACCUUAGCUAGGCUAACAGUCUCCUAAAUAUGCCAUCUUUUAUAUAUCUUUGCAUUCAUCCAUCUCCUCAUCGUCUUUGAUUUUAGAUGGUGAGGAUGUGAAAG
Molecule: long non-coding RNA, 249 nt
Filed under: Vitis vinifera (wine grape)
Lineage: Eukaryota; Viridiplantae; Streptophyta; Magnoliopsida; Vitales; Vitaceae
Description: long non-coding RNA (VVIN_LNC000543)
Source: RNAcentral